UGAAAGACUCUCGGCAACGGAUAUCUCGGCUCUUGCAUCGAUGAAGAACGUAGCGAAAUGCGAUACUUGGUGUGAAUUGCAGAAUCCCGUGAACCAUCGAGUCUUUGAACGCAAGUUGCGCCCGAAGCCAUUAGGCUGAGGGCACGCCUGCCUGGGUGUCGC
RNAcentral lists this ribosomal RNA (162 nucleotides) under Aspalathus leucophylla. RNAcentral describes it as "5.8S ribosomal RNA". It matches the Rfam family "5.8S ribosomal RNA". Rfam says of the family: 5.8S ribosomal RNA (5.8S rRNA) is a component of the large subunit of the eukaryotic ribosome. It is transcribed by RNA polymerase I as part of the 45S precursor that also contains 18S and 28S rRNA. Functionally, it is thought that 5.8S rRNA may be involved in ribosome translocation. The record is from RNAcentral. Lineage: Eukaryota; Viridiplantae; Streptophyta; Magnoliopsida; Fabales; Fabaceae.